CUAGAAGCCCCUGAAUUGUAUUUCUGGAGGCAGCCCUAACCAGCCACUGCCAGGAAGGUGACCUAAGAUGGUGCCCUUGUCCAAGCCUGGGCAGUAGCAUCCCUGGAUAUGGAAGAAGCCUGUUCUAUAUAGCGCAUACAAGCUAAAACAGACACAGGCAGCCCCUCCCACCCCCGAGAGCCACCAUACUGCUGUCUCCUGAUGGGGAAGACUGGUGCCAGGCAAGCCUCGACUGACACCAUCACAUCAGCAUUGCUCACACUGGCUGUGGGAGGGCUGCAGUCCUGUGAGACGUGAUGCUAUCUGCAGAGCUGUGGAAGCAGAAGUGUGUCUCCCCACCCAGCCUCUCGGUGCUUCACCCAUUCUCUGGUCAUGUGACAGCGCAACUCUCCAGGUUCCUGUUAGAAGGGCUUUGCUGGUGGUCUGGAAACCUUCAGGAGGUGCUUCCCCCUUCUUCCCUGCCCUCCUGUGGUAGCUGAGCUAGGUGGCGUGGGACCUUGAUUCCUUCCCAUCUAUACAGGCAUCUUCCUGCAUCUUCCUGAAGACAUUGUUGGUCUCCGCUCCUCGGGCCAACAAGCAACAUGGAAACAGAUUCAGAGGCCCCACUGUUUGCUGACACUCACAGACUGUCCUUCAGGUCACCCUCUGUGAUGUGUCACGGAGGGGGAGCCAAUCCUCUAGUGCCUGUUCUAUCAGAGUCGGCCUCUGUCUGCAUCUGUCACUGCUGAUUGCAUUUGAAUGACUUUGCCUCUUUUUUAAAUAAAAGA
Molecule: long non-coding RNA, 767 nt
Organism: Arvicanthis niloticus (Nile rat)
Lineage: Eukaryota; Metazoa; Chordata; Mammalia; Rodentia; Muridae
Source: RefSeq, a predicted model, not a curated record